RNAcentral lists this ribosomal RNA (301 nucleotides) under uncultured bacterium. Its description in RNAcentral is "partial 16S ribosomal RNA". It matches the Rfam family "Bacterial small subunit ribosomal RNA", at positions 509 to 809 of the family's 1533-position model. The record is from RNAcentral.
CAGCAGCCACGGUAAUACAGAGGAUGCAAGCGUUAUUCGGAAUGAUUGGGCGUAAAGCGUCUGUAGGUGGCUUUUCAAGUCCACCGUCAAAUCCCCGGGCUCAACCCUGGACAAGCAGUGGAAACUACCAAGCUGGAGUACGGUAGGGGUAGAGGGAAUUUCCGGUGAAGCGGUGAAAUGCGUUGAGAUCGGAAAGAACACCAACGACGAAAGCACUCUGCUGGGCCGACACUGAUACUGAGAGACGAAAGCUAGGGGAGCAAAUGGGAUUAGAUACCCGGGUAGUCCCUGUCUCUUAUAA